UGAUAAAUUACUGGGUAGAGAACAUUUC
Molecule: small RNA, 28 nt
Filed under: Bombyx mori (domestic silkworm)
Lineage: Eukaryota; Metazoa; Arthropoda; Insecta; Lepidoptera; Bombycidae
Description: piRNA piR-bmo-1327243
Source: RNAcentral